This 253-nucleotide ribosomal RNA is filed under the name uncultured bacterium. Its description in RNAcentral is "partial 16S ribosomal RNA". It matches the Rfam family "Bacterial small subunit ribosomal RNA", at positions 524 to 776 of the family's 1533-position model. The record is from RNAcentral.
UACGGAGGGUGCAAGCGUUAUCCGGAUUCACUGGGUUUAAAGGGUGCGUAGGUGGGCAGGUAAGUCAGUGGUGAAAUCUCCGGGCUUAACCCGGAAACUGCCAUUGAUACUAUCAGUCUUGAAUACCGUGGAGGUAAGCGGAAUAUGUCAUGUAGCGGUGAAAUGCUUAGAUAUGACAUAGAACACCAAUUGCGAAGGCAGCUCACAAAACUGUAACUGACACUGAGGCUCGAAAGUGCGGGGAUCAAACAGG